AAAAAAAAAAAAUAAUAAAUAAAAUCACAUGCAUGUUGCUGGGUAAGGGAAAAAAAAAGACAGAGAGAGCAGGAUAGCCCUCGAACUAGAAAGCAUGCAAGUGUGCCCAGCACCUAAUAGAAAAAACAAAACAGUCAAAACUAGCUCAAAAACCUGAAACAUCCACAAACUCCAAAGGGGGAAAUAUUAGUAGAUAAUACCACCUUAUCUACUUGAAUUCUUUGCGGCUGAAUACAUAAAUUAGCCAUUUAACCAUUUGGAAAAAAGCCCAAUACACCCUUCAUCUUUUUUUUUGAACCAUUUUAAUUUUAAUUUUUGUAAUUAAUAGGCACAAUUUUAUAAAUUUAUCAAUGAAAAAUGAUCAAAUAUAUCACUUGAUAAUAUGCUUUUUCACGUUAUAAUAGUUUAAACCUUAUAAUUUAGUCCAUUAUUAUUGAGUUGAGAAAUUUGUGCUUAAUGAUUAUAAAAGUAAAAAAUGAAGGGUGCAAUAGAUCAAAAAUAAAAAUUCAGGGACGUAAUAGGUCAAAAUAAAAGAUCAGGAGUGCAAUAGAAUUUUCCAAAGAGUUAAGGGGCUGAUUUAUAUAUUAGGC
Molecule: unclassified non-coding RNA, 590 nt
Filed under: Hevea brasiliensis (rubber tree)
Lineage: Eukaryota; Viridiplantae; Streptophyta; Magnoliopsida; Malpighiales; Euphorbiaceae
Source: RNAcentral